UGUCUCUUUAUUUGUAAGUCGCUCUGGAUAAGAGCGUCUGCUAAAUGACAUAAG
This is a non-coding RNA of Salmo salar (Atlantic salmon), 54 nucleotides long. The record is from Rfam. Lineage: Eukaryota; Metazoa; Chordata; Actinopteri; Salmoniformes; Salmonidae.